Long non-coding RNA from Panicum virgatum (switchgrass), 3031 nucleotides. RefSeq lists it as uncharacterized. The transcript is spliced from 5 exons. Lineage: Eukaryota; Viridiplantae; Streptophyta; Magnoliopsida; Poales; Poaceae. The record is from RefSeq and is a predicted model, not a curated record.
CACUCACAGGCAUCACGCACGGCCUUAUCCUUUUCGGUCAGGCAUCUUUCUCUUCACCCCUUAUUCACACACACGCAGAUAAGCUGCCCUCUCCAUUUCCCUGAGCCGCUCUCUCCCGAUCCUUCGAUUCGUUCGUCAAGCUCCAGUGAAAUCGUGGCAGACGGCCGGCGACACAGAUUGAGGCAUGUCUGGGUUAGGGUUUGAUAAGGGAUUUGAGGCUGGGGGUUAGGAUUCGGGGGAUUUUGGCCGGAUGGCCGACGACGAGGAUGUGAGCAGCUACUCCAAGAUCUACGUGGAGGCCUACACCUCCCUCCUUUCCCUCAGCCUCGGCAUGGUGGAUGAGAAGCUUUAAGCAAGGAGGUAAUCGUGGCCGCCAGGAGAUGGUGAAGGAGGAUGUGUACCAGGUGUAGAUUGAACCUGCUGACACAAACUUCGCCUUCCUUGUGGUAUGCUGGGAAGGAUAACUUUUAUUACAUAUAUACAUAGUCAAACAUGUUGAGGUAAAGUUCAAUUUUUACUAUGCAAAGCUACUACUCCAUUUAGGUAUAUAAUUGCUUUUUAGUAGGUAGUUCUUUCUUCAGUUAGGUGAACCCCUGAUUUCUAUGAGGACAAAUCUAUUUCUUGAGUUAGACAACAUCCUAUUUUAUUAUGGAAGAUGAGAUAAAUUAACAAUUACAUCUAGCUGGAUGCGUACAAAGGUCACACAUUUGCAAAACUUGAGGUAUAUUAUUGUCUAUGUUUUCUUUCCAAAGCAUGCUGUAAUGCACCAUGAUUAGGCAAUAAUCAUCAUUUCAAUAAGGCAGUACUACUAUUGUCAUUAUGCAAUGCUAUUAUUUUGUGGUUCGAUCGGUGAUUUUCUAGACUACAAGUUACUGAUUUUCUAGACUGCAAGUUACUUUAUUGAUUUAGUGUACAGAUUAUCUAGAACUACUUUUUUCAUAUUUAUAUCAUUUAUAAAAAAAAUUUAGUGAUAGAUGCUCUACACAAUUUUAAUAUAUGCAUGAUCUCGGUACAUGUUCCCUUUUUAUUAUGUGAGAGACAUUUUCGAUUGGCUAGUUCUAGCUACUGUGUAAUUAGUAAUAAUGCUCAUACGUGGAAUUUACAGAAUUCACUAUUCUCAAAAGCCAUUAUAAUCCAAUUGUUUGAAUGUAUCGAAUAUUAGAAUAGUUGUUCUUCCCAUAUUAUUCUGAAUACCAACAGCAAACAUAUUUUGCUGCUCUCAAAUUAAACCAUGGUUUUAAUAAAUUUCAAUAUGCAUUUUAAUACUAUCCGACUAGCAUCUAAAAUGUUCACAUGAAGCAAUUUAGAAAAAUUUCUGUUUUUUGCUGAUUAUUAGUACAUAAGCAUCGCAUGCAACUUAUGCUAAGUUCACUAGCAUCUUGGUAGAACUUAUAAGCAUUUAUAAGUAGGAAUUAUGCAACGAUAUUAUUAUAGAUGGGCAAUAAUAUGAUUCCUAAUAAGCAUUUUCUCCAUAUGUAAUAACAAAAAUAUCAACACUAGGUAAGCAUUUAAGCAAUUUAUAUAUAGGAAUUAGGCAAUAAUAUUAUUAUAGAUGGGCAAUAAUAUGGUUCCCGAUAAGCAUUUCCCCCCAAUUUAUUGUUUGUGUCUGGUUUGAUGGUUAGUUGUACAAAUAGGCAUGAACAGGCUCACACAAGGCUUGAAUUGGGUGAUUUGCUGCUUAUAAAUAUUGAUUCAAUUCUUUUUAUUGCUAGUUAGCUGUCAUCAAUUUAUGCGAUUUUGCUGGUUAUCAAUACUGAUUCAAUUCCUUGUUUUGCUGGUUAGCUGUCCUCAUCAAUUUAGGCAAUUUGUUGGUAUAUUAAUACUGAUUCAAUUCCUUGUUUUGGUGCCAUAGCAGGCUUACACAAAUUUGAUGAUGGCUCCACUCCAUAUGUUUUUAGUGCUAAAGAAUGAGGUCUGAAGAUUUAUGUAUGAAUGUUUAGAUGGGUGAAAAUUACCGUUGUAUAUGUUUUAAUUUUUUAGAGUUCUUCAUAAAUUUGCUUAAUUAGUCUCAAAAAGUUGUUUCAUGUAACUGUUGAGUUGAAUGGUAGUAUUAGUGAAGUAGAAAUAACGUAACGUGAGCAGAUAAGGAGGGAGGUGUGGUUGUAAUUACGGCUGGCUGGUAUGCUUUCUUUUCAUAAAUGCAUUUCUUAAUAGCUGAUGCUUGCAUUGUCAAUGUUCAAAAUAUAAUAGUUCUACCUUUUUUUCUAAGAUUUCUUAGCUGGGGUGGUCCAAGGUGCAUUUUUGUUUUCGGGGCAUCAAAUAUGUAACUUUUUUGCUAAUGCUUCCAGGGCAUCAAAUGUGUAUUUUUAUUCAGUUCUAUGUUUUCAUGGGUCUUGAACAAUAUGCAAUUGGGGCGGUCCAGUUUAGAAUCUAGACAAUUUACUGUAUGUCUACGAAGCAUUUUGCAUCUAAUUUAGAAGCAAUUCUUAUAUGAGCUACUAGGCAGUUUUGGUUAUGCAAGUAGGAUAACCUACUUUAGUGUAUGCAUGCCAAUCUUUUCUAUAUUUAAACUAUGAGCAAUUCUAACAGGCAAGGUCAAGAAGUAUCUCGCCAAGACGGACAGGGCUGUGGAUUACGACUUCUAUGACGAUAACAACCUACGCUACAUCCUCUUCAAGUCGUCGUUCAGCUGCCGCCCCCUCAUCGGCUGUCGUCCGCCCCUCGGGCUCGGUUAUAUAUGAUGUUGCUUCGUGCUCCUACUUGUUGGAAGAAUGUGGGGAAGCACACCCUCUGCAUCGGCGGGAGCAGCAGCCCGAACUACCUGCAGCAAUGUUGCGCCACUUGAUUUGGUCGAUUUGGUUUCUAUCAAGAUGAACGAGGACCGUGUGAUUCUAUUAUUGUUGUUGACGUUGCCAUCUAUUUUUGGUUGGUGAUUGUUGCAGUAAAGAUGCUGCAAUUGGUGAUUUUUUGAUGACAACAACUAUCAGGAGGAACAAUGUCGUGGUGUGGUAAACCACAGCCGGGUGGCGGAAUGCACCCGCCUAAGCCCAGAGGGUGAGUACUCGGGGGUUAGCUAGGACUAGUUCGAUUU